Molecule: ribosomal RNA, 482 nt
Filed under: uncultured bacterium
Lineage: Bacteria
Description: bacterial SSU rRNA
Rfam family: Bacterial small subunit ribosomal RNA
Source: RNAcentral
UUGAACGCUGGCGGAAUGCUUUACACAUGCAAGUCGAGCGGCAGCGCGGGGGCAACCUUGGCGGCGAGCGGCGAACGGGUGAGUAACAUAUCGGAACGUACCCAGACGUGGGGGACAACUAGUCGAAAGACUAGCUAAUACCGCAUACGUCCUGAGGGAGAAAGCGGGGGAUCGCAAGACCUCGCGCGUUUGGAGCGGCCGAUAUCUGAUUAGCUAGAUGGUGGGGUAAAGGCUCACCAUGGCGACGAUCAGUAGCUGGUCUGAGAGGAUGAUCAGCCACACUGGAACUGAGACACGGUCCAGACUCCUACGGGAGGCAGCAGUGGGGAAUUUUGGACAAUGGGCGCAAGCCUGAUCCAGCCAUUCCGCGUGAGUGAAGAAGGCCUUCGGGUUGUAAAGCUCUUUCGGCCGGGACGAAAUCGCACGGGUCAAUACCCUGUGUGGAUGACGGUACUGGAAGAAGAAGCACCGGCUAACUACGU